AACGCACGAGACCUGCGGACCUGCGGAGGGAUCAUUACCGAGUUUACAACUCCCAAACCCCUGUGAACAUACCUAUACGUUGCCUCGGCGGAUCAGCCCGCGCCCUGUAAAAAGGGACGGCCCGCCCGAGGACCCUAAACUCUGUUUUUAGUGGAACUUCUGAGUAAAACAAACAAAUAAAUCAAAACUUUCAACAACGGAUCUCU
RNAcentral lists this unclassified non-coding RNA (206 nucleotides) under soil metagenome. RNAcentral's name for it is "partial contains 5.8S ribosomal RNA, internal transcribed spacer 2, and large subunit ribosomal RNA". The record is from RNAcentral.